Apis mellifera (honey bee) is the source of this 85-nucleotide non-coding RNA. The record is from RefSeq and is marked provisional. NCBI's taxonomy places the organism in Eukaryota, Metazoa, Arthropoda, Insecta, Hymenoptera, Apidae.
AAAAUAAAUUAUGCAAAAGCUAGAACUCAUAGAAUAUAAUUUCUUAUACAUCUAUGAGCGUAGAUAUUUUGCUAUAGUAAUAUUG